GUGAGGAAUAUUGGUCAAUGGACGCAAGUCUGAACCAGCCACGUCGCGUGAAGGAAGACGGCCCUACGGGUUGUAAACUUCUUUUGUAAGGGAAUAAAGUGCAGUACGCGUACUGUUUUGCAUGUACCUUACGAAUAAGGAUCGGCUAACUCCGUGCCAGCAGCCGCGGUAAUACGGAGGAUCCGAGCGUUAUCCGGAUUUAUUGGGUUUAAAGGGUGCGCAGGCGGGAGAUUAAGUCGGCGGUGAAAUUUUGCAGCUCAACUGUAAAAGUGCCUUCGAAACUGGUUUCCUUGAGUGUGGAUGAAGUAGGCGGAAUUUGUGGUGUAGCGGUGAAAUGCAUAGAUAUCACGAGGAACUCCGAUUGCGCAGGCAGCUUACUAAGCCAUAACUGACGCUCAGGCACGAAGGCGUGGGGAUCAAACAGGAUUAGAUACCCCUGUAGUCC
RNAcentral lists this ribosomal RNA (445 nucleotides) under uncultured bacterium. RNAcentral describes it as "partial 16S ribosomal RNA". It matches the Rfam family "Bacterial small subunit ribosomal RNA", at positions 354 to 796 of the family's 1533-position model. The record is from RNAcentral.